CCCCAAAAGAUUGUUUCCAUGCAGGUAAAGGGACUGUAAAAAAGAGGCUCUCUUUUAACCUGUGAUCAGGCUGUUCCAUACCCAAACCCAUGCCACAUUAUGCUUAAUUCCUCUCAUUUGUUUUUCAGGCACGACGUACACAACUCCAUCCUGCUCAAGUAUAUUUUAUUCAAAUGCCUCUCUCAGAAGGAGAUAAAAGUUAUUCAGCCACUUGUCUGGCUCCCAUCACUACAGAGCACAUGUGUGGGUGAUGCCUGGAUUCAAGGUAGGUCUUAAUAUGGAUAUUAAUCAGUUGGAUUCUGAAAUAGUGUCACCUCUGGAGCUUACUCAGUAUUUAAAUUAUAUCAUCUUAUUUUGCCUGAAAAGACACCAACAUCAGUUCCUUUCUUCUGGCCUUUCAUUAAAUGGCAGUAGGUAAAAGAGGUGUUUGUAAGAGCCUAGACUACUAAAGGAGAAAGCCUUGACACAGAAAUGGAAGUACACUUGUGAAUCAACAUUAGGGGGAGCAUAGAUAUCAUCUGUGAACACACAGGUUGGGUGAACACUGAACCAGUCAUGUUCUUCUGUUGAAUCACUGUCUACAGUCAGAUUUACUAGGCUGAUACAAUUAACACAUUUCAUAUGUUAAAAGCCUAAUUAGAAACCUGGCUUUAAACAUUCCACAAUUUUAUUUAUUUAUUUAUUUUUCUGGAUCUUAUUACCUACUACUGGCUGAAGACCUACAGAUAAAUAAGAGGAGUUUUGUUGGCAAACGUGAAAAUACAAGGUUUCUCUCUCUUUGUAUUUGAAAACAGUAAAUUGCUUUACCUGUAUUUUCACUAAUGCCCAUGAAAAGUUCAAAAUACAAAAGCCAUUGAUGCCCUUUCAUUCCAGGCUUUAAGGACAGAUACUUAUUGGGGGUGGGGGGGAAGGAAGCAUUUACAAAUUGAAUGGUAGAUAAUCAAAAGCGGAUACUAAAACAAUAUAUAUGAUCUUACUGAUCUUACUUAUGUUAACUGCUCGAUCAGAGAUUCAGAAAUUCUUUCUAGUGUUUUUUUUUUUGAUGACCAUGAUCUCUCUAUGAUCUCUUUUAGAGGCUGAUAGCUAUUGAUAGAUUUUACCCAAGAGGAAAGUGGAGAUCCAUCAACAGUGUUAGACUGCUAUAAGUUAUAGACUCAGAAGUCAGUAAUAAGCUGGAUAUUACUGGAUGAACUAAAAGUUUGUGUUGUGUAUUUCUAGUGUACAAACUGACAGGACAUAUAGAGUCAGUUUAAGA
This 1255-nucleotide long non-coding RNA is filed under the name Coturnix japonica (Japanese quail). RNAcentral's name for it is "lncRNA (ENSCJPG00005006109.1)". Lineage: Eukaryota; Metazoa; Chordata; Aves; Galliformes; Phasianidae. The record is from RNAcentral.